CGCCCUGCCGUAACGUCGGUCCCGCCUCUCAACCGCUGUGCUGGAGCUCGUUGCGCAUGCGCCGAGGUGCGUGCAGCGCCUCUAUAAGCCCGCUCUGGUGGGCUCUACCCGCAAUCUGCCGACGUCUGCAGAGGGCUUGUUCCCGGGCUCAGACCUGAGCCUGAAGGACGAGCUUGGUAAGAACCGCAGAGUCCCCGGGAGCCACUAUCGUGACGACAAAUGACCAGUGUAGCCUCAGGCUCCUACCAGGGCUCUGCACCUGGGGAAACUGAGGCACGGUGUCACACAGACGAGCAACUUUCUGCCGAUCUGCUCUGCUCUUGACGCUGCUGCCUUCACUGUGCUCCGAGUACUAAGCACUUGGUGCCUGGUUCUCCCGCGGUGCUGGAGGUGUGCAGGGUUUGUGCACCAGAGAAUGAGGAGCCAGAAGGGGUGCGCGCAGCCUUGGGGUGAGGUCCUGUUCUCGGGGCGCGUGCGCUGGGGAGUCGGCUCCUCUGGAGCAGGGCGUGAGGGGCCUGGACACCGAAUUUCUCCAGAGAGCAGCCGUCAGCGGAGCAGCCCGGACGUCUUCUCUGCACUUGAUCUGCGCCCAAGGCCAGAGGGCAGGGGACAGAGGAUCCGGGAGGUGUGUUUUGCAAAACGAAGAGUCCUGUGCUGAGUGAUGGGAGCUAAGUGAUUCCCCCCACGAGGACGUCCACUUCCCUGACCGUCUGCGCUUUCCUUCCUGACAGUGAGAAGCAGGGCCUCCCCAGCCCCUGACUGCUCUUCCUGGGCUCCGGGCUCCAGACCAGCAACAGCCAGGAGAUUUCCACCAGCGCAGGCCGAGGAGUCUCAAGACGCUGACUCAAGCCGUGGAGAAAAUUCUACCCUUGCAUCUGUAGCUACCUCGUGUUUUUCCUUCAGGGUUAUCAAGCAAAAUGAACAACUGGUAUCCACUAUAAUUUAAUAAAGACGAGCGGAAACCGUUUAAUGGACACAGACUGAAAUUCCAGGUGAAGGGAAGGCGUUACAGUGGGGAUGGAGGGAAACGCUGACAUUCUUCUUCCCGCAGCGGUGGACGCAAAUACAGUAACAUAGUUCCUUGCCAAGUAGUGUUUAAGAAACUAAGCACCGUAUGUGAUACACAAAUAGAAUGCGGUGGCACUGUUCGGGCGAUCCCUGCACAGCAAGACCCUCGGGCCUGAUUCGUAGCCCCUGCUGCCACACUUUGGACAGGUGUCGGAGGUGCGGCACUGCGCUCUCCACAGACAGUGGGGCGACUGCUCCCGGAGACAAGUUGGUAGUAAAGUAUUUCCACAUGGUGCCCGAACAGGCAGCAAACGCCUCCAGUGGUUUUUGCAUACGUGCUAAGCAUGAGUGGUGCUAGUUCUUCGUUGUGAGGCGCGCACAGCACAACAGCGGCUGACCCAGGAGCGCCCUAGGAACGCGGGCACGUGUCCUGCCUAUAAUUUGAAAGUGGGAUCACUCAAGGGCUGCAGCCCAGCGCCGGAGAGCUGGCCUAGCGUGUGCAAGCCCUGGAUCCCAGCCACAGUGCUGCCAGAAAGACGCUGCAAUUUAUUUCUUUGAUAAUAGGGGUUGAACCUUUUUUUUUCCUCUCAGAAUUGCCUGUUCACGUUUUACAGGUUAUGAAUGAAAUAAUAUUUUUAAAAACUAACUCAUAAGAAUCCUAUUAUACAUGUAUGACAGGUGCUUACUGUUUGCCAUGUUUCAAGUAUUUCUCCCAGCGUUUGUUUCUUUUUUAAGUUUCUUUGCCAAUCACUAAUUUUUAAUAUUUGUGGGUGGUUGAAUUCCUUACCCUUUUCCUUUGUGAUUUCAGCCUCGGGUUACAUUUUAAAAGACAGAUUUUUCUUUUAUUUAUUUAUUUUUUGUCUUUUUCGUUUUUACCGGUACCAGGGAUCAAACUCACGACUGCCUGCUUGCAAGCACUCCCAGCUGUGGAAGUUCCUGUACCUGACUCGUAACGCUUUUCCUCUGGGUGGAUGUCCCUGGUCAGUAGCCAUGAGAAGCUCUCCCCUGUGGAGGUCACCGUCAAUGGCUUCUUCCCUGGGUGGACGUCCCGAGCCAGUGACUCCGUCAGGGCACCACCUGUCCAGCCUAUGAGCUUGCGCCUGACUGAGUGAUGAGGAUGAAAACAAAGAGACACAGAAUCAAAGACGCCAGGUGCCUCAUGUAUCCCCUGCCCAGACCAGACCGUGUGCAGCCAAGCCCCAGGUGAAGGCCUCACCAGAACUCAUCACAGUACUUCUGCACUGGUGUCUCUGCUGAGGUAUAAAACCAUGCUGCCCCUGCUGCCCAUGUAGCUCUCAGAACUUCCUUCCAUGGUCAUUUAUCUCAGUGGCUUCGGAUUUGUAUUGUUGGACUUUCCAAAUCCUCAGUCCUCAGCUUCACGUCACCCACGGGGCUGUCACAGGGGAUGCCGUGGGCUGUGCCUGCACGCUCUGAAUUGUCCUCUGUUCUGCCUUUGGAGCUCUCUUCUGAACUGUUUCCUUCUUUGAAUCUUCCUGAUUCAUCUCAGAUUAGGCACAUCCUGCAGAAAGUGCCAAGUCAGAAGUCUGUUUUAGGGCAUUCCCUGAAAAAGUUGUAAUAAGACAACACAGAGAACAAGAAAAUAUUAACUCAAAGAUUAAGAAAGAAAUGGCAAAAAAUGUUUCUCCAAGCCGAGGAUAAUGGUGCGCAUCUGUAAUCCCAACUGCUUAUGAGGCUGAGGCAGGAACAUCUUGAACUUUAGAGCAACCUGGGAACACUGGUAGGCCUGGUCUCAAAAAUUUAAGCACAGGGUUGGUAUCCAUCUGACAGAGGGCAUGCCUCACAAGCUCAGGACUCAGAAUUCAACCCUCACAAGAACUUGGCAGAAUUGUUUUCUAUUUGUUGUUGGUUUUUUUUGAGCCAGAGUAUUGAUAUAUAGUGCGAGCUGGCCUUGAUCUUGCUUAUGUAGCCCAGGCUGGCCUGGAAUUCUGUGUGAUCCUCCUGACUCAGCCUCAAGCACUGGGAUUACCAUCGUGCACCGCCCCUCCCCCAGCUGAGACCUGCUUUUUGGCACAAACUCUCCCUUUUGUGCGUUCAGUGGCAAGGAUUCAGCACAGUGAUGUCCUGCAUUUGCCAAAGAGUCCUCCAGCCUAAGUGUGUAUACAGAUCACACUUACUCAGCAGUAACAUGACUCAGGCACACACAGGACACUAGAGACUCAACAGCAAAGGAGUCAGCACAAAACUCUGCCUCUUAAAGCCGAGCAGGGCCAGCAAAUGGCAGUCUGAGGCUAGACCCCGCCUGCUCUGUGCUUUUGUUCAGCUUGUGGACUAAAAUGGUUUUUAUCUUUUUAAGUGGUUAAAAAUCCAUUACCAAGGGUUCUUUCCCUAACAAAGGAUAAAAACUAACAUUUAUACUGACUCAGUAUGGAUGUUACACUGCACGUUUAUGGGUCUAUAUACAGUAAUAGAGGGAUCCCAACUGCUGGGGAAAAUAAGAGUAUGAUAAAAAAAAAACUUUGUAGCUCCUGGAUGCUACACGGGACCUCCCCCAAAGGCUGUUAUAAACUGCAGGGGAACACUGAAGUGAAGUGUACUAGUCUAGAGAAAACCAAAAGACGCACAGAGGAACAAAAUGGGCUGUUACGACACCCCCAUGACCUGAAAGAGGGGCCCUGGCCCUUGGCCUCAUAUCAGAGCCUCCACUCCCAGAGACCCCAAAGUAUUUUCCAAAUUAAAACAAACAAACAAA
Molecule: long non-coding RNA, 3718 nt
Organism: Cavia porcellus (domestic guinea pig)
Lineage: Eukaryota; Metazoa; Chordata; Mammalia; Rodentia; Caviidae
Exons: 4
Source: RefSeq, a predicted model, not a curated record